This 650-nucleotide ribosomal RNA is filed under the name uncultured bacterium. RNAcentral describes it as "bacterial SSU rRNA". It matches the Rfam family "Bacterial small subunit ribosomal RNA", at positions 373 to 1021 of the family's 1533-position model. The record is from RNAcentral.
GGGGGCACCUGAUCCAGCAUGCCGCGUGAGUGAAGAAGGCCUUCGGGUUGUAAAGCUCUUUUGUCAGGGAAGAAACACCGGCUCUAACACAGUCCGGGAAUGACGGUACCUGAAGAAUAAGCACCGGCUAACUACGUGCCAGCAGCCGCGGUAAUACGUAGGGUGCGAGCGUUAAUCGGAAUUACUGGGCGUAAAGCGUGCGCAGGCGGUUAUACAAGACAGGCGUGAAAUCCCCGGGCUUAACCUGGGAAUGGCGCCUGUGACUGUAUGGCUAGAGUGUGUCAGAGGGGGGUAGAAUUCCACGUGUAGCAGUGAAAUGCGUAGAUAUGUGGAGGAAUACCAAUGGCGAAGGCAGCCCCCCGGGAUAACACUGACGCUCAUGCACGAAAGCGUGGGGAGCAAACAGGAUUAGAUACCCUGGUAGUCCACGCCCUAAACGAUGCUGACUAGUUGUUCGGGAUUUACAUCCUGAGUAACGUAGCUAACGCGUGAAGUCAGCCGCCUGGGGAGUACGGUCGCAAGAUUAAAACUCAAAGGAAUUGACGGGGACCCGCACAAGCGGUGGAUGAUGUGGAUUAAUUCGAUGCAACGCGAAAAACUUACCUACCCUUGACAUGUCACUAACGAAGUAGAGAUACCUUAGGUGCUCC